CUCAGACCACUCCCAGACAGUCCUACAAAAAUUCUUGCUUGAUAAGUAAUUGUUUUCGUUUUUUUUUACUUUUUAAUUUAAAUUUAAUCACAGUAAGACGUCUGCCGGGCUGCAGAAAGAUGAGAUGGACAGGGAUUUCACCAUGCUGAGCUCAGCCAUCACAGAGGUGUAGAAGCAAGUGCUGUCCCCAAUGGCGGAAAAUGAAAAAAGGAUGCUGCAGAGAGCGAGGGAUCCUCAGAUGGAGGAGGUCCAUAGGGUCUUAGAGAAGGAAUUGUCCAGGAUGGAGAUAGCUCUGCAAGGAGACCAGAAACAGCUGCUCCAGGCUGUGCAGAAAGACAUGUCUGGAGAACAGUGAGGAAGUGAGGAAACAGCUUCUGGUGGUGGUUCAGUCCAGGAUGGACUAAGUCUGGAGGUGGUUCAGUCCAGGAUGGACUAAGUCUGGAGGUGGUUCAGUCCAGGGUGGACUAAGUCUGGAUGUGUUUCAGUCCAGGGUGGACUAAGUCUGGAGGUGUUUCAGUCCAGGGUGGACAAGGUCUGGAAGGGAAAGGGUCCUUUAUCUUGCAAUGCCUUGGGCGAUAGAUCCAAAAAAGUCACCGUUGUCAUUGGCUGAUGACAUUAACAGAAUGGUCACCUUUGAUACGGUUGGUGAAAAGGUGUGGGUAUCUCCUGUUCGGACUAUAGUCAAGGCGGUCGUACCAGUGGAAACAGUCCAGACCCCCAGUCUCUGACCAAGCCAUGGAGGAAUGGAUGGUGAGAGGUACACAAAGCUUCAG
Molecule: long non-coding RNA, 773 nt
Filed under: Salmo salar (Atlantic salmon)
Lineage: Eukaryota; Metazoa; Chordata; Actinopteri; Salmoniformes; Salmonidae
Description: lncRNA (ENSSSAG00000094504.1, ENSSSAG00020073568.1)
Source: RNAcentral